Molecule: non-coding RNA, 219 nt
Organism: Caenorhabditis elegans
Lineage: Eukaryota; Metazoa; Nematoda; Chromadorea; Rhabditida; Rhabditidae
Source: Ensembl
UCUCCAUAUUACGCUGACUAGUAGCAAAAAGUGGCCUUCUUUUGCCUUCUCGCAUGGAAUAUCUACCGUAGUCCCCCGGUACAUAUGGCGGCAGCUCCAGAGACUCAGAGAGGCGUAAUUGGGAGGAAAAGCUAUGCAGGAGAGGAAGAGUGAGCAUCCUAUCGUCAACCAUUUUAUGACGCAAUCUAGCUGCCUGGAUAGGAUAACAGAGCAAUUGUC